AGCAGUAGCCGCGGGAAUACAGAGGGUGCGAGCGUUAAUCGGAUUUACUGGGCGUAAAGCGUGCGUAGGCGGCUUUUUAAGUCGGAUGUGAAAUCCCUGAGCUUAACUUAGGAAUUGCAUUCGAUACUGGGAAGCUAGAGUAUGGGAGAGGAUGGUAGAAUUCCAGGUGUAGCGGUGAAAUGCGUAGAGAUCUGGAGGAAUACCGAUGGCGAAGGCAGCCAUCUGGCCUAAUACUGACGCUGAGGUACGAAAGCAUGGGGAGCAAACAGGAUUAGAUACCCCGGUAGUCCCUGUCUUUUAUAA
RNAcentral lists this ribosomal RNA (303 nucleotides) under uncultured bacterium. RNAcentral's name for it is "partial 16S ribosomal RNA". It matches the Rfam family "Bacterial small subunit ribosomal RNA", at positions 507 to 809 of the family's 1533-position model. The record is from RNAcentral.